Long non-coding RNA from Orcinus orca (killer whale), 214 nucleotides. RefSeq lists it as uncharacterized. The record is from RefSeq and is a predicted model, not a curated record. Lineage: Eukaryota; Metazoa; Chordata; Mammalia; Artiodactyla; Delphinidae. The transcript is spliced from 3 exons.
AGUCAGGGAAGUACAGGAAAUGCCCUCCCCUUCUGGACACUCACCAUCCCCCAGUGUGUUCCCAGGGUGAUGGACCAGGACAUGAAUCAGGUGACCUGGAUCAGAUGUAGUUGAGGGGAUGAUGACGGAGGGAAGAACAGGCAGACAGAAGGAUGGAUGGAGAGAAAGGCAGAGAGAAGACUUCAGGCCCCAGGAGGUCAGAGAACCAGCAGAG